ACCUUGAACAUGGCACCCCCGGGGCCCGUCCUCGGGGGACUGUAGUCACCCCAAUUACGUGCGGUGGCGACAUCGACAGUCUGCGGGAAUCUCUCCACCAGCUGGGGACAACCCGCAGCCGGACCUCUCGCGUCCGGCCCACAGACUAAAUGUUGAUGGGUCCGCGCCCCCUGCGGACUUUCGAUAUAGUCGGUCGUCGGGGCAUAUACCCCCUCGAGCAAACGUUCCGUAGGUGAACCUGCGGAAGGAUCAUUA
This 255-nucleotide ribosomal RNA is filed under the name Hormodochis aggregata. Its description in RNAcentral is "partial 18S ribosomal RNA". The record is from RNAcentral. Lineage: Eukaryota; Fungi; Ascomycota.